RNAcentral lists this ribosomal RNA (526 nucleotides) under uncultured bacterium. RNAcentral describes it as "bacterial SSU rRNA". It matches the Rfam family "Bacterial small subunit ribosomal RNA", at positions 355 to 896 of the family's 1533-position model. The record is from RNAcentral.
UAGGGAAUAUUGCACAAUGGGCGAAAGCCUGAUGCAGCAACGCCGCGUGCGCGACGAAGGCCUUCGGGUCGUAAAGCGCUUUUCGGGGAGACGAGGAAGGACGGUAUCCCCGGAAUAAGGCUCGGCUAACUACGUGCCAGCAGCCGCGGUAAAACGUAGGAGCCAAGCGUUAUCCGAAUUCACUGGGCGUAAAGCGCGUGCAGGCGGUCUGAUAAGUUGGAUGUGAAAGCUCCUGGCUCAACUGGGAGAGGACGUUCAAUACUGUCCGACUAGAGGGCAGCAGAGGGAGGUGGAAUUCCCGGUGUAGUGGUGAAAUGCGUAGAUAUCGGGAGGAACACCAGUGGCGAAGGCGGCCUCCUGGGCUGUACCUGACGCUCAGAUGCGAAAGCUAGGGGAGCGAACGGGAUUAGAAACCCCGGUAGUCCUAUCUGUAAACGAUGUAGACUGGGUGUUGGUGGGUUAAAAGCCAUCGGUGCCGAAGCGAACGCGAUAAGUCUACCGCCUGGGGACUACGGCCGCAAGGUUA